GAUGCAAAAAAAAAAAAAAAAAAAAAAAAAAACAAAAACUCCAAAAAACGGCCAAUAUAAAUGUUAGCUGCUUUUUGCCACCAUCCUUCUGUCCCCAUGUGCCAUCACAUCGCUUGUUCAGCAGCUGGUCUACUUUACUAGCCAGAGACAAGGUUUUAUUCAUUAUUUGCUACUGAGUUGGGACCAAGACUCCAGCAAGGGAAGAAAUCCUAGGAGUCAUCUUCCCAUUCUAAUUAGAGUAUAACUACUUAUAGCUGAGAGAAUUUGUUGGGAGCCGUGGCACUGUCAAGUCAUCAGACGCGGUGAUUGCGAGGCCUGUGGGAAAGUACAAAAGCCUGGGCUAGAUUACCCCUCUCAUCGAGCCCGCCUGUGUGGCACCUGUUUCUUAUCACCCCACUAAGUUCCCGCCUCACAGGGUAGUCUGCCUAGCUAUUAAUCCUAUAUAUAGCCAGUGCCUCCACCCCCGAGAGAGAGAGAGACUGAAGCACAAAAGGAGCCGCGGGGAGCGGACCGGUAGAGGCUUCGGGGCAGACUGAAGCACGGAAGGAGCCGCGGAGAGCGGACCGGUAGAGGCUUCGGGGCAGACUGUAUAAGGAGAGAAUAAAGAAAAGCCUGACCACCGCCAGACCUUGUCGUGUGUCUUUCCUGCCGGCCGGGAGCGGACAUCGACAUUUGGAGGCCCGCACGGGGAUUGAUCAACCCCGAGACGCGGCGGUGGACUGCAUUCUCCUACACAGUGCUGCAGCUGCAGGACAGGAAUCGGGACGAGAGCCAAUGUGGGUCCCAGAGAGGUUGACGCGACAAGUCCCUCGACUGAAGAUCAGGCCUGUUCCACCAGAGGCCAACCGCAGAUCCAACAACAAGAUGAGCCCUAAAAGAACUGCAGGACAAUCCCUUUUUGGGGGCCUGGAACGGCUUGCUCCCCUAUGUGCUACCCUUGUAUACGCAUGGCUCGCUCGCAUGGCCUACGACCGCGUUUAAAAGUGACAGGCUUCCCACAUUCUCCUCCCUAGACAACAACAUGUAGCAGGGUGGGUGAGUCAAUGACGGGUAAGAGCGUGCCUCCCCAGCACGACUCAACCUAAGCCAGGCCCUACCCCGUUCCGCUCGAAAGCCGCUGGAUUGUUAGAUAAAUUUCUCUCCGAGGGGAUUCGUGGAGAGAAAUGAGUGCAUGCCUAUGUGCAACCAGGUUCCGUCCGGUUCAUUCCUGGCCCUAGAAAAAAGGACGAGGGCCUCAGGGCCUUGGUGGACCCUGGGACGGCCGACCAGGGUCUAUGCUAAGGGCCUACGGUGGGCCUCAGUUCGGGGCAUAGGCCUCUGCACUCUAUCCAGGACGGGCUGCGAUGCGCGUAGCCAUCAUUUAAAAUAAAAUAGGGGGAGAUGUUGGGAGCCGUGGCACUGUCAAGUCAUCAGACGCGGUGAUUGCGAGGCCUGUGGGAAAGUACAAAAGCCUGGGCUAGAUUACCCCUCUCAUCGAGCCCGCCUGUGUGGCACCUGUUUCUUAUCACCCCACUAAGUUCCCGCCUCACAGGGUAGUCUGCCUAGCUAUUAAUCCUAUAUAUAGCCAGUGCCUCCACCCCCGAGAGAGAGAGAGACUGAAGCACAAAAGGAGCCGCGGGGAGCGGACCGGUAGAGGCUUCGGGGCAGACUGAAGCACGGAAGGAGCCGCGGAGAGGCUUCGGGGCAGACUGUAUAAGGAGAGAAUAAAGAAAAGCCUGACCACCGCCA
This is a long non-coding RNA of Cavia porcellus (domestic guinea pig), 1728 nucleotides long. RefSeq lists it as uncharacterized. The transcript has 2 exons. The record is from RefSeq and is a predicted model, not a curated record. Lineage: Eukaryota; Metazoa; Chordata; Mammalia; Rodentia; Caviidae.